Molecule: long non-coding RNA, 1764 nt
Organism: Monodelphis domestica (gray short-tailed opossum)
Lineage: Eukaryota; Metazoa; Chordata; Mammalia; Didelphimorphia; Didelphidae
Source: Ensembl
CAAAGAACCAAGGAAUGCACUUUUGUGUCCAGGGCUGGGAAAGCAAGUCCUUCUGCACGUUGCCCUAGUCAGACCAUACCUGUCCAGUUCUGGGCAGGUUUUAGAGAGAACUGGGGAGUGUCCAGAGGAAGAUGACCAGAGGGUAAAAGGCCAUGCCAUCUGAAGAUCUGUUGAAAGAACUAGGAUCAUUUUAUCCUGUGAGGAAAAAAGAUACAUCUAGUAGGGGUCUAGGUCAAGUUUUGCUCCUUUCUUUGAAGACUCUAAGGAAGGCAGUGAGUGUGGAAAUUGAGCUUUGUUUGAACCUAGUCCUCUGUGCCUGGGAAACUGAACCACCUGCAGAGACCCCCAAUCAAGUUCUUGGAUUGAUGCAAGGUGUCUUACCAUAAUUUUGAAUCUAAGCAACUCAGAUGACAUAUCUGAAACGUAACCUCAUACUCAUCACUAGUCAUUGUCUCCAUGUUCUUUUUUCUUUCUUUUUUUUUUUAAUUAAAACACUUACCUUCUGUCUUGGAAUCAAUACUGUGUAUUGGUUCCAAGGCAGAAGAGAGGUAAGGGCUAGGCAAUGGGGGUCAAGUGACUUGUCCAGGGUUACACAGCUGGGAAGUGUCUGAGUUCAGAUUUGAACCCAAGACCUCCCAUCUCUCAAUCCACUGAGCUACCCCCUCUCCAUGUUCUUUUGAUUGUUUACAGGUAGUUGGCAGGGUUUGUGGGACAUUUCAGUUGAUAUCAUUGUCUCAUACAGAUGAGAUCAAAGGAGUUUAGGUAACCACCAAAGUCAAUGAGAACUGUUUCAAAGUGGAACUAGUCACUUUAGGAGAGAGUGAGUUUUCCAUUGGGAGAUAAUCUUGGAGCUUACUUGAGAUGAUGACUUGUCAGAAAGCUUGUAAGGAGAUUCCCAGCUUGAGUAGGGAUUCGACCAGAUGCCCUCUGAAAUCUUUUUGGCUUUGAGAUUCCAUGAUUCCUUGGGAAUUUUAGAACUGAGAAAGAUCAUAGAGAUUAAUUCCAUUCCCUUGGUUUUCAGAUGAGGAAAUAGUUUCAGUGAAGUGACUAGCUCAAGAUUACACAGCAAGUGAGGGGAAGAGCUGAGACUUCCGUGUAGGUUCCAUGAAUCCAUAGAAGCCCAAAUCCGAUGAUAUCCAACAUCCCCUGGAAAGGACUUCCUUUUACCUGGAGCCCUAUAGUCCUCAGAGUGCCUCACUAGAAAGCCAUAGUUCAUUUUACCCCACGCUUUAUUGAUCUGCAGACCAAACCUUUGCUCCCCUGAAUGGGGAUUUCCUUAGAUCCAUUCAGACUUGUUUCCAUUGACUCAGUCAGUGCUGAUGGGCUUGACUCACUGACAGGGUGAAUCCACCUCUGCUUUCCAUCAUCUUUUCCCUUCUCCCCUGGGACCAGGAAACUACACCCAACCCCCACACCAUCCCCUUAUUAUUAUAAUAAUUCCCAUUUUUAUAGCACUUUGCCCACAACAACCUUAUGAGGUAGGUAGUAUAAGGAAUGCAUUACAUCCAGCCAGUAGCUUGUGAAGUGGAUGGAAUGUUGGACUUGAGAGUCUGAAUUGUGCCUUAGACACCUAAAAGCUGUGGGGACCUAAAUCAUGAGGAUACGAGAGUAAAUGUUUAACAGUUGUCUUUGGGAUCUGUGCUUAUUAUGUGGGACAUACUUUUAAACUUACUCUAUAUUGUUAAGCUUUUCUCUAUUACUUUCUUAAGUCUAAACAAUCAACAAAACAAUAAAUCAAGCUCUAAUUUGUAGUGUUUGCUAAUU